UACGAAGGGUGCAAACGUUGCUCGGAAUUAUUGGGCGUAAAGCGCGCGUAGGCGGCUCGGAAAGUCGGGCGUGAAAUGCCGGGGCUCAACCCCGGGACUGCGUCCGAUACUUCCGAGCUGGAGGUAGGUAGGGGAGAUCGGAAUUCCUGGUGUAGCGGUGAAAUGCGCAGAUAUCAGGAGGAACACCGGUGGCGAAGGCGGAUCUCUGGGCCUUACCUGACGCUGAGGCGCGAAAGCUAGGGGAGCGAACAGG
This 253-nucleotide ribosomal RNA is filed under the name uncultured bacterium. RNAcentral's name for it is "partial 16S ribosomal RNA". It matches the Rfam family "Bacterial small subunit ribosomal RNA", at positions 524 to 776 of the family's 1533-position model. The record is from RNAcentral.